This 532-nucleotide ribosomal RNA is filed under the name uncultured bacterium. RNAcentral's name for it is "bacterial SSU rRNA". It matches the Rfam family "Bacterial small subunit ribosomal RNA", at positions 8 to 524 of the family's 1533-position model. The record is from RNAcentral.
AGAGUUUGAUCAUGGCUCAGGAUGAACGCUGGCUGUGUGCCUAAUACAUGCAUGUUGAACGAAGCUAAAAGUGCUUGCACUUUAAGACUUAGUAGCGAAUGGGUGAGUAACACGUACUUAACCUACCCCCAAGUUUGGGAUAACGUUUGGAAACGAACGCUAAUACCGAAUACGUAUUUUUAUCGCAUGAUAGAAAUAUAAAAGGAGCUUCGGCUUCGCUAGGGGAUGGGAGUGCGCUACAUUAGUUAGUUGGUAGGGUAAUGGCCUACCAAGACUAUGAUGUAUAGCGGGGCCGAGAGGCUGAUCCGCCACACUGGGACUGAGAUACGGCCCAGACUCCUACGGGAGGCAGCAGUAGGGAAUUUUCCACAAUGAACGAAAGUUUGAUGGAGCGACACAGCGUGCAGGAUGAAGGUCUUCGGAUCGUAAACUGCUGUUAUAAGGGAAGAAAAACUUUAGUAAGUAAUGACUAGAACUUGACGGUACCUUAUCAGAAGGCGACGGCUAACUAUGUGCCAGCAGCCGCGGUAAU